AGCUGGAUGUGCCGUUCCCAACCGGGCAUCACAGAUUAUCAGUGGGCAUCACAACAGCCAAACAAGCAGGCUUGGCACAAGAGAACACAUUGAGAACCCCCGCUCUGAGGCUUGACCUUUCCCAAGAUUUACUGUCAGAUUAGCUCCCAUGCAGAAUGCAUUUGAUCUGUGGCAGCGAACACCUUGAAGGAGAAUCAGGAACAAAGGAAGCAAGUGGCACAAGUCAAGGUCCAAUUUUGUGAGGGAGAAAGGGAAACACCACAAUGUACACCAGAACCUGAGAUACAUUCCUUCAGCUUUUAUCAGAAUACAACUUCCUCUGGGUUGGAAAAAUAUAAACCAUCUGUCAAA
Long non-coding RNA from Vidua macroura (Pin-tailed whydah), 351 nucleotides. RefSeq lists it as uncharacterized. Lineage: Eukaryota; Metazoa; Chordata; Aves; Passeriformes; Viduidae. The record is from RefSeq and is a predicted model, not a curated record. The transcript has 2 exons.